This 271-nucleotide long non-coding RNA is filed under the name Lathyrus oleraceus (garden pea). Its description in RNAcentral is "Pisum sativum (pea) long non-coding RNA (PSAT_LNC024030)". Lineage: Eukaryota; Viridiplantae; Streptophyta; Magnoliopsida; Fabales; Fabaceae. The record is from RNAcentral.
CCUGGCCAUUUUCCUUUUUCCUUUUUGCCAUUUUAUUUAUUUUACUCAUUUUAUUUUUCUCUUUUGAUUUUUUUAACUCCUUUAUUUUUACUAUUUUGUAAAAAUGUUGAACAUCAACCCACCCCCACCCCCUCAUUUUUUCCUCUAGAAUUUAAUGGUGAUUUUCUUUAUUUUAUUUGGAUCAUUUAUGAUAGACUUUUGGAGUCUUAAAAUGAGGGACUAAUGAAAAUCAUUUAAGUCAUGAUGUGCUUAGUUUAGGGUUAAUAAAAAC